Molecule: transfer RNA, 63 nt
Filed under: Sinocentrus brevicornis
Lineage: Eukaryota; Metazoa; Arthropoda; Insecta; Hemiptera; Membracidae
Description: tRNA-Asn
Source: RNAcentral
UUAAUUGAAGCCAAAGCUAGAGGCAUUUUAUUGUUAAUAAAAAUAUUGAAAUUUCCAAUUAAU